RNAcentral lists this long non-coding RNA (343 nucleotides) under Pelobates cultripes (western spadefoot toad). The record is from RNAcentral. Lineage: Eukaryota; Metazoa; Chordata; Amphibia; Anura; Pelobatidae.
CUGGGAGUAUUAUUGCUGUGGAGCUCUGUUAUACACUCAGACACAUUACUGGGAGUAUUAUUGCUGUGGAGCUCUGUUAUACGCUCAGACACGUUACUGGGAGUAUUAUUGCUGUGGAGCUCUGUUAUACGCUCAGACACGUUACUGGGAGUAUUAUUGCUGUGGAGCUCUGUUAUACCCUCAGACACAUUACUGAGAGUAUUAUUGCUGUGGAGCUCUGUUAUACACACAGACACAUUACUGGGAGUAUUAUUGCUGUGGUGCUCUGUUAUACACUCAGACACAUUACUGAGAGUAUUAUUGCUGUGGAGCUCUGUUAUACACUCAGACACAUUACUGGGAG